Molecule: ribosomal RNA, 253 nt
Filed under: uncultured bacterium
Lineage: Bacteria
Description: partial 16S ribosomal RNA
Rfam family: Bacterial small subunit ribosomal RNA
Source: RNAcentral
UACGAAGGGGGCUAGCGUUGCUCGGAAUUACUGGGCGUAAAGCGCACGUAGGCGGCUUCUUAAGUCGGUGGUGAAAUCCUGGAGCUCAACUCCAGAACUGCCUUCGAUACUGGGAAGCUCGAGUCCGGGAGAGGUGAGCGGAACUGCGAGUGUAGAGGUGAAAUUCGUAGAUAUUCGCAAGAACACCAGUGGCGAAGGCGGCUCACUGGCCCGGUACUGACGCUGAGGUGCGAAAGCGUGGGGAGCAAACAGG